UACGUAUGGUGCAAGCGUUAUCCGGAUUUACUGGGUGUAAAGGGAGCGCAGGCGGUGCGGCAAGUCUGAUGUGAAAGCCCGGGGCUCAACCCCGGUACUGCAUUGGAAACUGUCGUACUAGAGUGUCGGAGGGGUAAGCAGAAUUCCUAGUGUAGCGGUGAAAUGCGUAGAUAUUAGGAGGAACACCAGUGGCGAAGGCGGCUUACUGGACGAUAACUGACGCUGAGGCUCGAAAGCGUGGGGAGCAAACAGG
RNAcentral lists this ribosomal RNA (253 nucleotides) under Roseburia faecis M72/1. RNAcentral's name for it is "partial 16S ribosomal RNA". It matches the Rfam family "Bacterial small subunit ribosomal RNA", at positions 524 to 776 of the family's 1533-position model. Lineage: Bacteria; Bacillati; Bacillota; Clostridia; Lachnospirales; Lachnospiraceae. The record is from RNAcentral.